Molecule: ribosomal RNA, 583 nt
Filed under: Streptomyces sp. CAI-17
Lineage: Bacteria; Bacillati; Actinomycetota; Actinomycetes; Kitasatosporales; Streptomycetaceae
Description: partial 23S ribosomal RNA
Rfam family: Bacterial large subunit ribosomal RNA
Source: RNAcentral
UGAUCCGGAUCAGGGACAGUGUCUGAUGGGUAGUUUAACUGGGGCGGUUGCCUCCUAAAGAGUAACGGAGGCGCCCAAAGGUUCCCUCAGCCUGGUUGGUAAUCAGGUGUUGAGUGUAAGUGCACAAGGGAGCUUGACUGUGAGACCGACGGGUCGAGCAGGGACGAAAGUCGGGACUAGUGAUCCGGCGGUGGCUUGUGGAAGCGCCGUCGCUCAACGGAUAAAAGGUACCCCGGGGAUAACAGGCUGAUCUUCCCCAAGAGUCCAUAUCGACGGGAUGGUUUGGCACCUCGAUGUCGGCUCGUCGCAUCCUGGGGCUGGAGUCGGUCCCAAGGGUUGGGCUGUUCGCCCAUUAAAGCGGUACGCGAGCUGGGUUUAGAACGUCGUGAGACAGUUCGGUCCCUAUCCGCUGUGCGCGUAGGAAUAUUGAGAAGGGCUGUCCCUAGUACGAGAGGACCGGGACGGACGAACCUCUGGUGUGCCAGUUGUUCUGCCAAGGGCAUGGCUGGUUGGCUACGUUCGGGAGGGAUAACCGCUGAAAGCAUCUAAGCGGGAAGCCUGCUUCGAGAUGAGUAUUCCCACC